RNAcentral lists this unclassified non-coding RNA (400 nucleotides) under fungal sp. RNAcentral describes it as "partial internal transcribed spacer region". The stretch from base 1 to 46 matches the Rfam family "Eukaryotic small subunit ribosomal RNA", at positions 1786 to 1831 of the family's 1831-position model. The record is from RNAcentral. Lineage: Eukaryota; Fungi.
AAGUCGUAACAAGGUUUCCGUAGGUGAACCUGCGGAAGGAUCAUUAACACGUUCCACGUAUCCACCCGAGCACAUUGUUCAAACAAGAGAUUAAGCUCCAGUAGAUUCACCUGUAAGCUGUCGUGAUUCAGUCCGCAAACCUCGAUAAGGAAACAGGCUGCGUAAGCCUGGCGGCUGCCGAUGGUAUGUCUUCUCUCUUUGUUGAGAGAGGCAGGCUCUGGAUGUCUGGUCAUGUUUCUAUUCCUUAUCGACUUUUAUCACAACUAUUUACCCCAUUCCGAAACGUACUAAUUUACAUUUCUUUUCUUAAAGAAAUUGAGUUGCACAAUUCGUUGUGCCCAACUCAACGACCUAAGAAAAACCAAAAGAACAACUCUUAACAACGGAUAUCUUGGCUCUC